This 378-nucleotide long non-coding RNA is filed under the name Gallus gallus (chicken). Lineage: Eukaryota; Metazoa; Chordata; Aves; Galliformes; Phasianidae. The record is from RNAcentral.
AUUUAAAGGUCCAUCCUGUGCUGCUAUAUACAAGACGGUCUAGACUAAAUUAUCAGUUUACAUGAGAAUGUGGGUAUCUAAAAUGCAGCAGUCAACACCGCUUGACUGUUUGGCUCGUGACCAGUGAGCCUGAGGGCCACAAAAUAUUGCUGACAUUCAACUACUGAAAAUCUCGUAUUACUUUAACAUAGACACUGCCAACAGAGAAGCAUUUUAAUACCUGCUUUCGGCCUGUUCUGCGCCAGCUAUGUAUGCACGUGCACACUGAGAACAUGAGAGAAAUUCCUUCUUGAGCUGAAAUAUCGUCAUCGACACACUACAAAGUACUGCCAUCCCCUCAUUCCAACAGGCCCCAUUUUAAAUAACUUGUUGGCUAGA